CUAAGCACUGUACCGACCGGUGCUACACGAUGAGGAGGACAAGGUAGACUCGGGUGAGUACAUCUUACCGAGGUUUGUGUGGCAUUGGGUUUUGCCCACCGUUUGGUGCGGUACCGCGGCGGAGCCCCAACACCGGUGAGAAAUUUGUCAAUCCUAGGUCGCCUAGAUCACUCCCCAAGGGUCCUAUUACAUGCGACGAACUCAGGAGACCACCUUCGAUUGCGAUCCUAGGGCAAAGCGACACUAUAGUCUAUAAGCUGACAUCGUUGGCAGCGGCCCUUUCUCACGAUCUUUCACUGGCUCACAGCUCGCACGACGCGUACGUCUCCC
This 330-nucleotide long non-coding RNA is filed under the name Zea mays. Its description in RNAcentral is "long non-coding RNA NONZMAT003359". Lineage: Eukaryota; Viridiplantae; Streptophyta; Magnoliopsida; Poales; Poaceae. The record is from RNAcentral.